Molecule: ribosomal RNA, 253 nt
Filed under: uncultured bacterium
Lineage: Bacteria
Description: partial 16S ribosomal RNA
Rfam family: Bacterial small subunit ribosomal RNA
Source: RNAcentral
UACGGAGGGUGCAAGCGUUAUCCGGAUUCACUGGGUUUAAAGGGUGUGUAGGCGGGUAUUUAAGUCAGUGGUGAAAUCUCCAGGCUCAACCUGGAAACUGCCAUUGAUACUAUUUAUCUUGAAUUCUGUUGAGGUGGGCGGAAUACAUCAUGUAGCGGUGAAAUGCUUAGAUAUGAUGUAGAACACCGAUUGCGAAGGCAGCUCACUAAGCAGCGAUUGACGCUGAGGCACGAAAGCGUGGGGAGCAAACAGG